Molecule: ribosomal RNA, 501 nt
Filed under: uncultured Glomeromycotina
Lineage: Eukaryota; Fungi; Glomeromycota
Description: partial small subunit ribosomal RNA
Rfam family: Eukaryotic small subunit ribosomal RNA
Source: RNAcentral
CCAAUAGCGUAUAUUAAAGUUGUUGCAGUUAAAAAGCUCGUAGUUGAAUUUCGGGAUCAAUAUGUCGGUCGUGCCUUCGGUACGUACUGGUAUCAUUGGUCUCUCCUUUCUGACGAACCAUGAUGUCAUUAAUUUGGUGUUAUGGGGAGUUAGGACUGUUACUUUGAAAAAAAUUAGAGUGUUUAAAGCAGGCUUUAGCUUGAAUACAUUAGCAGGGAAUAAUGAAAUAGGACGUUCGAACCUAUUUUGUUGGUUUCUAGGAUCAACGUAAUGAUUAAUAGGGAUAGUUGGGGGCAUUAGUAUUCAAUUGUCAGAGGUGAAAUUCUUGGAUUUAUUGAAGACUAACUACUGCGAAAGCAUUUGCCAAGGAUGUUUUCAUUAAUCAAGAACGAAAGUUAGGGGAUCGAAGACGAUCAGAUACCGUCGUAGUCUUAACCAUAAACUAUGCCGACUAGGGAUCGGAUGAUGUUAAUUUUUUAAUGACUCAUUCGGCGCCUUACG